RNAcentral lists this ribosomal RNA (2888 nucleotides) under Escherichia coli. RNAcentral describes it as "partial 23S ribosomal RNA". It matches the Rfam family "Bacterial large subunit ribosomal RNA". Lineage: Bacteria; Pseudomonadati; Pseudomonadota; Gammaproteobacteria; Enterobacterales; Enterobacteriaceae. The record is from RNAcentral.
UACACGGUGGAUGCCCUGGCAGUCAGAGGCGAUGAAGGACGUGCUAAUCUGCGAUAAGCGUCGGUAAGGUGAUAUGAACCGUUAUAACCGGCGAUUUCCGAAUGGGGAAACCCAGUGUGAUUCGUCACACUAUCAUUAACUGAAUCCAUAGGUUAAUGAGGCGAACCGGGGGAACUGAAACAUCUAAGUACCCCGAGGAAAAGAAAUCAACCGAGAUUCCCCCAGUAGCGGCGAGCGAACGGGGAGGAGCCCAGAGCCUGAAUCAGUGUGUGUGUUAGUGGAAGCGUCUGGAAAGGCGCGCGAUACAGGGUGACAGCCCCGUACACAAAAAUGCACAUGCUGUGAGCUCGAUGAGUAGGGCGGGACACGUGGUAUCCUGUCUGAAUAUGGGGGGACCAUCCUCCAAGGCUAAAUACUCCUGACUGACCGAUAGUGAACCAGUACCGUGAGGGAAAGGCGAAAAGAACCCCGGCGAGGGGAGUGAAAAAGAACCUGAAACCGUGUACGUACAAGCAGUGGGAGCACAGAGCAAUCUGUGUGACUGCGUACCUUUUGUAUAAUGGGUCAGCGACUUAUAUUCUGUAGCAAGGUUAACCGAAUAGGGGAGCCGAAGGGAAACCGAGUCUUAACUGGGCGUUAAGUUGCAGGGUAUAGACCCGAAACCCGGUGAUCUAGCCAUGGGCAGGUUGAAGGUUGGGUAACACUAACUGGAGGACCGAACCGACUAAUGUUGAAAAAUUAGCGGAUGACUUGUGGCUGGGGGUGAAAGGCCAAUCAAACCGGGAGAUAGCUGGUUCUCCCCGAAAGCUAUUUAGGUAGCGCCUCGUGAAUUCAUCUCCGGGGGUAGAGCACUGUUUCGGCAAGGGGGUCAUCCCGACUUACCAACCCGAUGCAAACUGCGAAUACCGGAGAAUGUUAUCACGGGAGACACACGGCGGGUGCUAACGUCCGUCGUGAAGAGGGAAACAACCCAGACCGCCAGCUAAGGUCCCAAAGUCAUGGUUAAGUGGGAAACGAUGUGGGAAGGCCCAGACAGCCAGGAUGUUGGCUUAGAAGCAGCCAUCAUUUAAAGAAAGCGUAAUAGCUCACUGGUCGAGUCGGCCUGCGCGGAAGAUGUAACGGGGCUAAACCAUGCACCGAAGCUGCGGCAGCGACACUAUGUGUUGUUGGGUAGGGGAGCGUUCUGUAAGCCUGUGAAGGUGUGCUGUGAGGCAUGCUGGAGGUAUCAGAAGUGCGAAUGCUGACAUAAGUAACGAUAAAGCGGGUGAAAAGCCCGCUCGCCGGAAGACCAAGGGUUCCUGUCCAACGUUAAUCGGGGCAGGGUGAGUCGACCCCUAAGGCGAGGCCGAAAGGCGUAGUCGAUGGGAAACAGGUUAAUAUUCCUGUACUUGGUGUUACUGCGAAGGGGGGACGGAGAAGGCUAUGUUGGCCGGGCGACGGUUGUCCCGGUUUAAGCGUGUAGGCUGGUUUUCCAGGCAAAUCCGGAAAAUCAAGGCUGAGGCGUGAUGACGAGGCACUACGGUGCUGAAGCAACAAAUGCCCUGCUUCCAGGAAAAGCCUCUAAGCAUCAGGUAACAUCAAAUCGUACCCCAAACCGACACAGGUGGUCAGGUAGAGAAUACCAAGGCGCUUGAGAGAACUCGGGUGAAGGAACUAGGCAAAAUGGUGCCGUAACUUCGGGAGAAGGCACGCUGAUAUGUAGGUGAAGCGACUUGCUCGUGGAGCUGAAAUCAGUCGAAGAUACCAGCUGGCUGCAACUGUUUAUUAAAAACACAGCACUGUGCAAACACGAAAGUGGACGUAUACGGUGUGACGCCUGCCCGGUGCCGGAAGGUUAAUUGAUGGGGUCAGCGCAAGCGAAGCUCUUGAUCGAAGCCCCGGUAAACGGCGGCCGUAACUAUAACGGUCCUAAGGUAGCGAAAUUCCUUGUCGGGUAAGUUCCGACCUGCACGAAUGGCGUAAUGAUGGCCAGGCUGUCUCCACCCGAGACUCAGUGAAAUUGAACUCGCUGUGAAGAUGCAGUGUACCCGCGGCAAGACGGAAAGACCCCGUGAACCUUUACUAUAGCUUGACACUGAACAUUGAGCCUUGAUGUGUAGGAUAGGUGGGAGGCUUUGAAGUGUGGACGCCAGUCUGCAUGGAGCCGACCUUGAAAUACCACCCUUUAAUGUUUGAUGUUCUAACGUUGACCCGUAAUCCGGGUUGCGGACAGUGUCUGGUGGGUAGUUUGACUGGGGCGGUCUCCUCCUAAAGAGUAACGGAGGAGCACGAAGGUUGGCUAAUCCUGGUCGGACAUCAGGAGGUUAGUGCAAUGGCAUAAGCCAGCUUGACUGCGAGCGUGACGGCGCGAGCAGGUGCGAAAGCAGGUCAUAGUGAUCCGGUGGUUCUGAAUGGAAGGGCCAUCGCUCAACGGAUAAAAGGUACUCCGGGGAUAACAGGCUGAUACCGCCCAAGAGUUCAUAUCGACGGCGGUGUUUGGCACCUCGAUGUCGGCUCAUCACAUCCUGGGGCUGAAGUAGGUCCCAAGGGUAUGGCUGUUCGCCAUUUAAAGUGGUACGCGAGCUGGGUUUAGAACGUCGUGAGACAGUUCGGUCCCUAUCUGCCGUGGGCGCUGGAGAACUGAGGGGGGCUGCUCCUAGUACGAGAGGACCGGAGUGGACGCAUCACUGGUGUUCGGGUUGUCAUGCCAAUGGCACUGCCCGGUAGCUAAAUGCGGAAGAGAUAAGUGCUGAAAGCAUCUAAGCACGAAACUUGCCCCGAGAUGAGUUCUCCCUGACUCCUUGAGAGUCCUGAAGGAACGUUGAAGACGACGACGUUGAUAGGCCGGGUGUGUAAGCGCAGCGAUGCGUUGAGCUAACCGGUACUAAUGAACCGUGAGGCUUAACCUU